Molecule: long non-coding RNA, 1495 nt
Filed under: Homo sapiens (human)
Lineage: Eukaryota; Metazoa; Chordata; Mammalia; Primates; Hominidae
Description: HSALNT0334379
Source: RNAcentral
UGCAGAGCCCAGGCGCGUGGGUCGGUGUCGGGUGUGUGUGUACGUCUGUGUGUGUAAUGAAACUGGACGCCUUCCUUCCCGGCGAUCUUGACUUAACCUGUCAGCAGAGGGCUUGAGGUUAGACCACAGGUUGAACCUAGGUGGCUGCUGGAGAGGCCUUGAAAUCAUGGCAGCAGCAAGACCCAACUGGGGCAGCAUCAUGUCUGGGUUUGAAUCCCGGUUCAGCCACUUUCCAGCUGUGUGAUGUGGGGCAAGUCAGGCUCAGAUCCCACCAGGACUGCAACCCUUAGCCCUGUCUGGUCUCCCCUGCAACCCUUGAGGCCACCCUGGAGGCUCAGCCAUCCAUUCACCCCAGAAAGAAGCUGGAAGCUCAAGCCUGACUAUAGGACCAGCACAGCCCCUGGCCAGCCGCAUGCUGCAGAGGCUCUGGCUGACUGUCUCUGCUCGCCUGUUCUGUUGUUUGCAUGUUCUCAGAAUAGGAGACCCCUAAAGACAGAAACUGCAUGUGUCCUGCGCAGGAAAUCUUGUAUUGGCCCUCUCAGCAGCCUUCUGGUUCCAAACCCUAUGGAAACUGCGCUCACCAAGUCAGCAGAGGCCUCCUCCUCUCAGCCUCAACUUCUUGGGGGAAAUUGGUUCUAGGGCCAGCAAGACUUCCAAAGAGCCUCUUCCCAGCAGGUUCAACCUCCCAUCAUCUGAAAGUCUUUCUGCUCCCCUCAGGGAUCCCCCACCAAGCCCUCUGCCCCUGAAGGUUGGUGCUCUGAGGGCAUCCUCCUCUCUCUGUGCACUCGCCAUCAGAGUGGUUUAGCUCCCCUUGUUCCAAUUCCAGUUGGCCACAAGCAGCUCCCAAGUCAAUUUCUCUGGUUCACUGUCCAUUAGUUGACCCAGCUAGAACCCCACCCCUGGCUCCUGACGCCUCUCCUGCUGGACUCUUCAGCAUGUUGGAUGAAGGCCAUUAGUGCUGAACUCACCAUACUCUUCCAAGAUCUGCCUGCUCCUCCCCAUCACCCCAGAGCAAGCCCUUGGCUCCUCUCCCCUUCCUAGAAACUCCCACCAGUGUUGUCAGUUCUCUUGGGUCAUGAUUCCUUAAAAAUGAACACAGAAUCUAAUUUUAUUUUCAAAACAUGAAAACAGUUCACCAUUUAACUUUGCUCUUAUUAAGUCUAUUAUCCUGAUUCAUCCUCUUUGGUAUUAAAGUCAAUAAAUCGUAUAAAUCUUGAAACUUUUUUAACUCAGAAAAAUAAAUUCUGUUAUGACAAUCCUUGACAUGUUAAUCUGUGUUGUGUAAACUGUUAGCUUUAAAACACAAAAUGCUUUUUUUAACAUGGUUGUGUCUUAGAAACUUCCUGCACAUCAUUGUGCUUGCUUUUAGUAACAGCAGACUAGGUAAUGGUGAUCAACCUUCUUGCUGAGGGCAACUAGAAGAGCUAUAUAUUUUUUUAAAAACUACCACUACCACCACAACACCAGACCAUUUGAAGCAUCUGAGCACUAAUAA